CCAACUGCCAAGCUCUCCAGAGGAGCUUCCUUCUGCGUCCCCGGGCCUUGAUCCCCGCCUCUCCCGCAGCCUCGCCUGUGCGGCAGCCCUGGGCACCCUGGGCUGGGGCUGCUAGGUGGCGGCUCACCCGCUCACGGGCUGCUGUUGGCAGCUGUUCCGGACCGGGGUCUCCUGGAAGCUGCAGUUUCGCCUCCGGGUUUGUGGAGUAUCUGGAUUUAAUAUACCAAGAGAAGAAGGAGGAAGCUCAGGAAGACCUGAGGAGUAGAUACAGAUGUUGAAAGGAACCAGAACACUGAAGUCAGGAAAGCAGAUGGAGAAAGGGGAUUGAAGUAGCUGGUGCUUCAGAGAACACCCACAGAACAAUUAAAUUGAAAUGCUCUUGGCAUCAGUGAAGAAAUGAAGGGAGCAAAACCAUUCUUCUGAGACGUGUAGAAGUGAAGUACCUAAACAAAUAACUGUCUUGAACACAUGUGGAAAGCCUUCUGGGGAGCAGAGCUAACAAAAGGGUGACAGCCAUGAGGCUGUCUGAGUGUCCUGUUCCUGCACACACCUCAUUAACUCCAACUCCAUACGGCAGUAUGUCUCCACAGUAACUUCCCUGGAGUGAUUGAUUUCUCCCCUAUCUUGGAAUCAAUGUUCCAGACUGAAUUAUGCUAAAAUAUGGGAUUUACCUUCAAGCAAAGUGAGUCACUGGUCCGGACAAGAACCAACUCUGCACUGCUUUUCAGACCCCAUUCUUCUCGACUGCAGGGACAAGUGGUUUCUAUUAUACUUCUGGCCUUUCAUACUCCCGAUGGUGCGGCUGAUGAAAUCCAGCAGCCAGGUGCAUGGAUGUGGUUGAAAAGACCCUCGCAGGACCUGAGCUGCCUCCCCACAGAGUGGGCUGUCUCCCUCCUGAGGUGGCCACUGCCAGUGGGACUGAUACCUGACUUAUUUCCCUGACUGAGAGGAUGGGUCAUAUGACCAAUUCAUACAUUUUUGUCCUGGUCUCUUUUUAACUAAUCACACAGUUUUCUGAUCUCUGGCCAAGGGCCAUGACCAAGGACAGAGUUUCCCUGUGUAGAUUUUUCUGCCACAGACAUUUGAAUUGGACUGUCGGAGUAGACUAAGUAUGGUAGCCAUUUUUCCCAUUAAGAUGGAAUUACCAAAACAUAAGCUUCAGGAAACACGUGGGAUGCUCUCAAGUCUGGUAACAUAUUCCCUGUCCUGUACCAGACAAGAAGCCCUGCAUCCCAUUUGCUCCUAACAGCCCCUUUCUUGGUUAUUCUGUUGAAUUUCCAGUUAGCCAGGUCUGAAAAACAGCCUCAAGAAGUUGAAGACAGUAGCAAUCCUUACAGAAACUUGUAAGUCCAAGGUAGAGGUAGAUGACUCAGAGGCAUUUUAUUUCACUUUAAGAAAAACCCAAGCUAGCAAAUAAUAAUGAUGAGAAUUUACUCCUAGGUAAAAAAAAAUAACUUGCAAUUUCAAAGUACUAUGUAGUAUAUCCCAGAUAUAAACCACCUCCAAUUCCCUUGUUUCAGUCAUUUUGGUGACAAUAUAGUUCUAUGUGAGCCUGUUUAGAAAACAAAAUAUAUAUUUGGUAAAUGAAAAGAUGGUUGGAAUUUUAGGAGCAGUGGUAUUCAUUCACAUAGAACACAGAGAGUGCAGAAAAUUAAACUUGUCACAUACCAUGAUCACAGUCAAAACUAGAAAGAUGAUAUCAGAAGGUCUUUUCAGCUCCCAGUUGUAUCCAAAAGUGACUGUUAAUUUUAGAUUAGUUCCCCUUAUUUCUAGUUUUAGAUUCUCCCCUCCCUCUUUGUUAGGCCCAGGAGAAGGUUUUCAAUAGGAGACAGUUAUGGACAGUGUUGUGAAAGUGAGUGUUCCAAAAAGGGAUUUGGGGGAAAGAGUGUUCCCAGAACACACAAAAGCUAUUACAGCAUGACAGCUAGCUGACCUACCACUAAGAUCUGCCAAAAGUUAUUUGUGUCAUGGAGAUCCUGGUCAGAAAUCUGGACUGGACUUGCCCAGUUCUUGCCUUAGCUGGGCCAUUGCCAAAAGCUUUAUUGUUUGGACCAUGCACACUCAUUCUCUUAGUCAGAUUUGUUUCUUCCUGUUUGACAGCUUUGAAGCUAAAAAUGGUGGUGCAGUCAGACCCAUUGAUAGAUGUUCCUCUUGGUUCCUACUCAGGGCUCUUAGAUAGACCCCAUGGUGGAGGACCUUGAUUGUAGCCCUGCCAUGGCCCCUCUCAGCUAGAAGCAGCCAAAUUGACUGAUGGCCCCUUAUCCCUACGGUAGUUAAGGACACCGCUGUUGAAGGGGAUCGAGACAAGGAGAUGAACAAACAUUAGCCAGCUAGGAUAGGGACCUGAGUAACCUAACAACAAAGUGCAUAUAUACCCUUGAACUUGGGUGCUCCUUGGUAUCCUCCCCUGGAGGCCCUCUCGGUUAAUGUGAGUUCUUCUUUGGUCUUUAAUAAAAUAUACAUGGUUCAUUCCCCACUGCUCUGUCUGUUGACUUCAUACUCAGGACAACAGCCCAGAGGGAGGAAAGAAUUGGUUAUACCAUGUGGGCCAGGAAAAUACGGAAAGCUACCUAGUCAGUAAGAACCUACCAUGAUUUAACUAUGUUCUUCUUCACCCUGCAAAACAAAUAGUGUGACAGUGCAGCUUGACUUUUCCCGCUCAUCUCUGCUGGACAUCAAGUGCUUCUCUACUGGACAAGUGCUCAGCAGCCACUUAUGGCUGGUGGCUGUGGUAUGGAACAGUGUUAUUCUAGACAGCAUCACACUUUUGUCUUUUAUUUUAAAAACCUUAGAAAAAGUAUGAUGGUUUUCAUAAGAAAUUUCAAAAAUGACUUACAUUAACACAUUGG
This is a long non-coding RNA of Heterocephalus glaber (naked mole-rat), 2849 nucleotides long. The record is from Ensembl. Lineage: Eukaryota; Metazoa; Chordata; Mammalia; Rodentia; Bathyergidae.